This 441-nucleotide long non-coding RNA is filed under the name Phoenix dactylifera (date palm). RNAcentral describes it as "long non-coding RNA (PDAC_LNC020033)". The record is from RNAcentral. Lineage: Eukaryota; Viridiplantae; Streptophyta; Magnoliopsida; Arecales; Arecaceae.
AGUGUCGGUCGAGGGAGACCAAAAACAUAGAGUGACAUUGAUAAGGGAUUGCUUAGCUAUAGGACGAAACUUGAAAAAGUUCCAAUUGUCCAAGAGACCAUUCUUUCCUAGAUAGAUGAUUUUUGCUGGAAAAUAUGGUCCGACCAAUGGUUUCUAAGGUCACAUUAGGUUAGCCUGGGCCGAUGAUAGUUGGGUUCUUCCAGAGUGAACCUUAUUAUUGGGCUUCCCAUAUAGAAAAGUAUCCUUGGGAUGACAAGGAAAAAUAUAGGAAAAAGGUUCGGAUACAUUAUAUUUAAAAAUAAGAUGAAGCAUAUGGAGACCGAAAGAAUCUCGAAUCAAUACCUGAGGGUCCUCAGAUCGUAAAAACCCAAAAUGCUCAAGUUCUUUUAUCUCUGACAAGCAAUAGCUUGAAGUGCAAUGAGAUCCUAACUCAUCUUGGCA